This 1562-nucleotide small RNA is filed under the name Pongo abelii (Sumatran orangutan). RNAcentral's name for it is "processed transcript". Lineage: Eukaryota; Metazoa; Chordata; Mammalia; Primates; Hominidae. The record is from RNAcentral.
CAUACUGGGCUCCACGCCUCCUGUCUUCUUUACCUGAUCCACGGGACCCCUCAACUUUCCUGUAAGGGAGGCUCUAUUACCCCGUUUUUCAGAGAGGAGAGGCCCCGCCUCUUCCAGAACCUCCUGCUCUUCCUGUGGGCCCUGCUGAACUGCAGUUUGGGGGUCAGUGCUCAGUAGGGUCCGGGCGAGUGGACCCCGUGGGUGUCCUGGACCCGCUGCUCCAGCUCCUGCGGGCGUGGCGUCUCCGUGCGCAGCCGGCGCUGCCUCCGGCUUCCUGGGGAAGAACCGUGCUGGGGAGACUCCCACGAGUACCGCCUCUGCCAGUUGCCAGACUGCCCCCCAGGGGCUGUGCCCUUCCGAGACCUACAGUGUGCCCUGUACAAUGGCCGCCCUGUCCUGGGCACCCAGAAGACCUACCAGUGGGUGCCCUUCCAUGGGGCGCCCAACCAGUGUGACCUCAACUGCCUGGCUGAGGGGCACGCCUUCUACCACAGCUUCGGCCGAGUCCUGGACGGCACCGCCUGCAGCCCGGGUGCCCAGGGGGUCUGCGUGGCUGGCCGCUGCCUUAGCGCCGGCUGUGAUGGGUUGCUGGGCUCGGGUGCCCUCGAGGACCGCUGCGGCCGCUGCGGAGGCGCCAACGACUCGUGCCUUUUUGUGCAGCGCGUGUUUCGUGACGCCGGUGCCUUCGCUGGGUACUGGAACGUGACCCUGAUCCCCGAGGGCGCCAGACACGUCCGCGUGGCGCACCGGAGCCGCAACCACCUGGCGCUGAUGGGGGGCGAUGGCCGCUACGUGCUUAAUGGGGACUGGACGGUCAGCCCACCGGGGACCUACGAGGCGGCCGGCACGCAUGUGGUCUACACCCGCGACACAGGGCCCCAGGAGACAUUGCAAGCAGCCGGGCCUACCUCCCACGACCUGCUCCUACAGGUCCUCUUGCAGGAGCCCAACCCUGGCAUCGAGUUUGAGUUCUGGCUCCCUCGGGAGCGCUACAGCCCCUUCCAGGCUCGUGUGCAGGCCCUGGGCUGGCCCCUGAGGCAGCCGCAGCCCCGGGGGGUGGAGCCUCAGCCCCCCGCAGCCCCUGCUGUCACCCCUGCACGGACCCCAACCCUGGCCCCAGGCCCGAGUGCUGGGCCGCCACCGCCAGGCCCAGGAGACCCGCUAUGAGGUGCGCAUCCAGCUCGUCUACAAGAACCGCUCGCCACUGCGGGCACGCGAGUACGUGUGGGCGCCAGGCCACUGCCCCUGCCCGAUGCUGGCACCCUACCGGGACUACCUGAUGGCUGUCCAGCGUCUUGUCAGCCCCGACGGCACACAGGACCAGCUGCUGCUGCCCCACGCCGGCUACGCCCGGCCCUGGAGCCCUGCGGAGGACAGCCGCAUACGCCUGACUGCCCGGCGCUGUCCUAGCUGAGCCCCCGCAGGAGCCCUGGCCACACACAGCAAGAAAGAUACAUCUGACCAGUCUCAACGUCAACGUAUUUCCCCUCUCACCCUGGCUUCCAGGCAGCUCUGAAAUAUGUCCCACCUGUGCAGCUACGUGACUCCCUCCCGCACACGCU